GCGCACAAGAGAGAAGGGAAGGGAAAACCUUUCUUCAACCCUAGUUCAUCAAAAAUCUAAGAAUUGGAUGUGUUUAUGGGUCAAAUUCGAAUGCAUGUGAUGAAAUUUCCAACCAUCUAACCGUUUUCUACAUAGGGUAAGUUUGAAUGAAAACCCAAAUUGUUUUAGUAGAGUGAAAGAAGAAGAAGCUAGUUCCGGUUCACAAACAAAGGCUCAAGAUCGAGGUAAAUCCUCAACUUAGGCGACCCGGCGAAAUGGAGCGAGCACGUGUCCAUGUCAUGUUAUACCAAAUGCUUCCGCUAGCUUAGGUUCAUAUUUAUGGUCCAUGACUUGUUAUUUGUCCAACUUUGUUAGUAGUCGUACAUUUGUAAAGCUUGUCGUCUUGCUUUGAGUAGUUUAAUGUCAAACGGAUCGUAGUAUGUUGUUUAGUUUAUUAUGUUAAAACAGGGGGCACGUUCGUUUUACGAACGGGUCAUGCCGAAUUUUUGUAAAAAUUUUACUUUGUAUCAAAGUUGGUAUUUUUGAU
RNAcentral lists this long non-coding RNA (526 nucleotides) under Helianthus annuus (common sunflower). RNAcentral describes it as "sRNA HanXRQr2_Chr15g0712441". Lineage: Eukaryota; Viridiplantae; Streptophyta; Magnoliopsida; Asterales; Asteraceae. The record is from RNAcentral.